Molecule: ribosomal RNA, 467 nt
Filed under: uncultured bacterium
Lineage: Bacteria
Description: bacterial SSU rRNA
Rfam family: Bacterial small subunit ribosomal RNA
Source: RNAcentral
GCACCAGACUCCUACGGGAGGCAGCAGUGAGGAAUAUUGGUCAAUGGGCGGAAGCCUGAACCAGCCAAGUCGCGUGAGGGACUAAGGCCCUGCGGGUCGUAAACCUCUUUUGCCGGGGAGCAGUGGUCCGGACGCGUCCGGACCGGGAGAGUACCCGGAGAAAAAGCAUCGGCUAACUCCGUGCCAGCAGCCGCGGUAAUACGGAGGAUGCGAGCGUUAUCCGGAUUUAUUGGGUUUAAAGGGUGCGUAGGCGGAAGGUUAAGUCAGCGGACAAAUGUCGGUGCUCAACACCGGCCUGCCGUUGAAACUGGUCUUCUUGAGUGAGCGAGAAGUAUGCGGAAUGCGUGGUGUAGCGGUGAAAUGCAUAGAUAUCACGCAGAACUCCGAUUGCGAAGGCAGCAUACCGGCGCUCAACUGACGCUGAGGCACGAAAGCGUGGGGAUCGAACAGGAUUAGAUACCCGAGUA